GAUGAAGAACGUAGCGAAAUGUGAUAAGUAAUGUGAAUUGCAGAAUUCAGUGAAUCAUCGAAUCUUUGAACGCACAUUGCGCCCCUUGGUAUUCCGAGGGGCAUGCCUGUUCGAGCGUCAUUAUAACCCCUCAAGCUCAGCUUGGUGUUGGGGCCUGCCGCACGGGCAGCCCUUAAAAUCAGUGGCGGUGCCAUCUGGCUCUAAGCGUAGUAAUUCUUCUCGCUAUAGAGUCCCGGUGGAUGCUUGCCAUUAACCCCCAAUUUUCUAUGGUUGACCUCGGAUCAGGUAGGGAUACCCGCUGAACUUAAGCAUAUCAAUAAGCGGAGGA
RNAcentral lists this unclassified non-coding RNA (328 nucleotides) under soil metagenome. Its description in RNAcentral is "partial contains 5.8S ribosomal RNA, internal transcribed spacer 2, and large subunit ribosomal RNA". The stretch from base 1 to 120 matches the Rfam family "5.8S ribosomal RNA", at positions 35 to 154 of the family's 154-position model. The record is from RNAcentral.